RNAcentral lists this ribosomal RNA (421 nucleotides) under uncultured bacterium. Its description in RNAcentral is "bacterial SSU rRNA". It matches the Rfam family "Bacterial small subunit ribosomal RNA", at positions 29 to 440 of the family's 1533-position model. The record is from RNAcentral.
AAUGAACGCUGGCGGCGCGCCUAAUACAUGCAAGUCGAGCGAGAAGACGUAGCAAUACGUUUGUAAAGCGGCGAACGGGUGAGGAAUACAUGGGUAACCUACCCUCGAGUGGGGAAUAACUAGCCGAAAGGUUAGCUAAUACCGCGUACGCUCCUUGGACUUCGGUUCAGGGAGGAAAGCGAUACCGUGGGUAUCGCGCUCUUGGUUGGGCUCAUGUCCUAUCAGCUUGUUGGUGAGGUAACGGCUCACCAAGGCUUCGACGGGUAGCUGGUCUGAGAGGACGAUCAGCCACACUGGCACUGCGACACGGGCCAGACUCCUACGGGAGGCAGCAGUAAGGAAUAUUGCGCAAUGGGCGAAAGCCUGACGCAGCGACGCCGCGUGGGGGAUGAAGGUCUUCGGAUUGUAAACCCCUUUCGGG